GGGUAGAUGGCGAAAUCGGUAUACGCAUCAUAUUCAAAAUGUGAUAACUUCCAGUUAUGAGGGUUCAAGUCCCUCUCUACCUA
This 83-nucleotide transfer RNA is filed under the name Gracilaria rangiferina. RNAcentral describes it as "Hydropuntia rangiferina tRNA-Leu". It matches the Rfam family "tRNA". From Rfam's summary of the family: Transfer RNA (tRNA) molecules are approximately 80 nucleotides in length. Their secondary structure includes four short double-helical elements and three loops (D, anti-codon, and T loops). Lineage: Eukaryota; Rhodophyta; Florideophyceae; Gracilariales; Gracilariaceae. The record is from RNAcentral.